AAGGUAGCCGUAGGGGAACCUGCGGCUGGAUCACCUCCUUUCUAAGGAUGAUCCUUCAGCGAGCUUCGGCUCACUAUCGGAUCGUUUUAGAAACAUCAGUGGCCAACAAUCGUCAGGAUUGUUGAGCUGCAUUGGCGGGAUUUCGCCGUCUUCGUUUCUCUUUCUUCGCGGACGAACACGCGCUGGGGCUGCAAGUUUGCAGAGUCCCUGGUCCUUGACUGGAUAUGCGUUAGGGGCUUGUAGCUCAGUUGGUUAGAGCGCGCGCUUGAUAAGCGUGAGGUCGGAAGUUCAAGUCUUCCCAGGCCCACCACUUUCAUCGAGUGAGCAUUCGUCUUCUGGUUACGGGGCCAUAGCUCAGCUGGGAGAGCGCGUGCUUUGCAAGCAUGAGGUCGUCGGUUCGAUCCCGUCUGGCUCCACCAGAUGGUUUGAUCAUCGACUGAUCGUGCACCUAAAUCGUCCGCGAAACAUCACUUCGCAUCUUGCUAGUCUGGAUAGACAGCAAGUUGCGUGAUUUCUGACAUCGUAAAGAGGAGAUCGAUCCGAGUUGGAUCGUGCAGCAAGCAAUUGCUACGCGAGACUUCAUUAUCUCCGGAUCAUUUCGGCGCUCGUGCGUCUUUCAAGGGCAGCUCACAAGGCUGCUUCUGGAGAGACAAGCGAGUUGUAAAUGAUCCUUUUAGCGAAGCUUGACCGCCUCGCUAUCGGAACGAUCUUACGAAGCAAGCUGGUCUUUCUAAUCAUUGUCCGGCUGCAGAUAGCGUUCAUCGAGGGCGCGUGCCGCAAGGCAGUUCUGCAGACAACAUUCUGCCGAGUGUGUGGACAUUGAUAAUGAGAGCAAUCAAGUGCCUUAAGGGUGUUCGGUGGAUGCCUUGG
Molecule: transfer RNA, 870 nt
Filed under: Bradyrhizobium ottawaense
Lineage: Bacteria; Pseudomonadati; Pseudomonadota; Alphaproteobacteria; Hyphomicrobiales; Nitrobacteraceae
Description: partial contains 16S ribosomal RNA, 16S-23S ribosomal RNA intergenic spacer, and 23S ribosomal RNA
Rfam family: tRNA (bases 234-307)
Source: RNAcentral